Molecule: long non-coding RNA, 1449 nt
Filed under: Equus asinus (donkey)
Lineage: Eukaryota; Metazoa; Chordata; Mammalia; Perissodactyla; Equidae
Description: lncRNA (ENSEASG00005031185.1)
Source: RNAcentral
CAAUGUGCUGUAUGCCUUGAGGUCCCAAAGCCGUAAUGUGGUUUGUAGCCAAGUGGGAAUGAAGCUGCCUUACUCCAUGUAUUACUUAGAAUGUUUUUGGUUACAGGUUAAUAGAAAACUUAACUCAAUCUGGAUGAAACAAGUGGAAUUUGUUGCCUCUUAGCCAAUAAAAUGGAAGUCCAAAGGUAAGAAGCAUAUGUACCAGUGAGGAUUAGGUUAGGCUGCAAGAAACAGAGACCCAAACUAACAAUGGCUUAAAUGACCUUUGAUUUUCUCACACACAUACAACGCCAGACAUAGGAAGGCCAGGGCUUCUAUUGUAACUGAGCUUAACAAAAUCUGGAGAAGCUUUCAUCUUCUUCCAGCUCACUGCUCUGUCAUUUCCUAAAAGCGUAAGCACUGUUGUCACAGUCUAAGAUGGUGGCUAGAGCUUCAGUCGUCGUAUUCAUGCUCCCGGGAGCAGGAUGGAGAAAGGAUGAAGAAGAUGUCCAUGAGUCAGCUGUCUUGUAAGGAAGGUUCCUAGAAGCUGCCACAUGACAUUUCUGCUUAUAUUCCAUCAGCCAGGGCGUAGUCACAUGGAUCCGCCAAACUGCAAAGAGACGAUAGGAGUGAAAGGAAGAGCAUUCUUUCAUCGUCAUUCAGUGGAGAGAAGUUCUGUUGAGGUUGCAAACACAAAUAGUUGAAUCCAGUGUGGUGAGCAUCUAGCAGUGUGGAAAUGGAGGAACCUUGGGUAUUUAUGGAGCAUUGUUUUAUGGUGAUGAAUAGGACAGGGAAAGCCUCUGUUUUCAUGGUGCUCAUACGUUCAAGGAAGAGAGUCACCAAAUUCUGGAGGUGUUCAAUCAACAGUUGUUAAACGAGGGAUGAUGAUCUCAUAUAGACCUACAGAAUCUCAGAGCUGAGGAUUAUCAACCACAUUAUACAGAAAGGUCGAGUCACUUGACUAAGGAGGACGAUGAGCCAAGAGCGCAGUUGGAGUUCAGUCAGAUGGAGCAUUCCUGGUGCUGCCUCCUUGCGUGAAAGAUAUUGUCAUGAGAAAGUCACAUGCAAAUGAAGGAGGCUGUAAUUAGGAGAGGAAAAAUAACAUCACCAUGGGAGACGUUGGCUGAGAGGUUCAGGAAGAUUUGUGCACUGAACAAAGGUUGCAGUCUCUCUGUAUGGAAGACAUCAGGAACUAUUCCUCUCAUGACUUUAUUAAAUUGGCCUGAAUUAUCAGCAACUGUGAUCCCUCAGUCCAGGAGAAGAAAGCUUCUUAAAGAGCAGCCCUAUAGAGAGGCCCAAGCAGCAAGGAGCUGAUAUCUCCAGCCAACAGCCAACAAGGACCUGUGGCCUGUCUGCAGUCAUCUCAGGUUUUUCUUUGACCAGUGACAUGUGCAUCCAUGGAAGGAAGGAACUGAUGGUGAACGUAUUUGGAGAUUAUCUACCAUGGCUAACCUGUCGGCCAGGAUUGAC